RNAcentral lists this ribosomal RNA (588 nucleotides) under uncultured bacterium. RNAcentral describes it as "partial 16S ribosomal RNA". It matches the Rfam family "Bacterial small subunit ribosomal RNA", at positions 355 to 1376 of the family's 1533-position model. The record is from RNAcentral.
UGGGGAAUCUUCCGCAAUGGACGAAAGUCUGACGGAGCAACGCCGCGUGAGUGAAGAAGGUUUUCGGAUCGUAAAACUCUGUCUUUUGGGGCGAACGUGAGUAUGGUGAACAAUCAUAGUCAGUGACGGUACCAAAGGAGGAAGCCACGGCUAACUACGUGCCAGCAGCCGCGGUAAUACGUAGGUGGCAAGCGUUGUCCGGAAUUAUUGGGCGUAAAGAGCGCGUAGGCGGGAUAGUCAGUCUGUUGUAAAGUGCGGGGCUCAACCCCGUGAUCGCAAUGGAAACAGCUAUUCUUGAGUGCAGGAGAGGAAAGUGGAAUUCCCAGUGUAGCGGUGAAAUGCGUAGAUAUUGGGAGGAACACCAGUGGCGAAGGCGACUUUCUGGACUGUGUCUGACGCUGAGGCGCGAAAGCCAGGGGAGCGAACGGGAUUAGAUACCCCGGUAGUCCUGGCCGUAAACGAUGGGUACUAGGUGUGGGAGGUAUCGACCCCUUCCGUGCCGGAGUUAACGCAAUAAGUACCCCCGCCUGGGGAGUACGGUCGCAAGACUGAACUCAAAUGAAUUGACGGGGUCAUAGCUGUUUCCUG